RNAcentral lists this ribosomal RNA (83 nucleotides) under Clostridium botulinum. RNAcentral describes it as "partial 23S ribosomal RNA". The stretch from base 1 to 72 matches the Rfam family "Bacterial large subunit ribosomal RNA", at positions 2853 to 2925 of the family's 2925-position model. Lineage: Bacteria; Bacillati; Bacillota; Clostridia; Eubacteriales; Clostridiaceae. The record is from RNAcentral.
UUGAUAGGUUGGAGGUGUAAGUACAGUAAUGUAUUCAGCUGACCAAUACUAAUAGGUCGAGGGCUUGAUCAAAUAUUUAUUAU